Molecule: ribosomal RNA, 272 nt
Filed under: uncultured bacterium
Lineage: Bacteria
Description: partial 16S ribosomal RNA
Rfam family: Bacterial small subunit ribosomal RNA
Source: RNAcentral
CAUUCGAGUGGCGGACGGGUGGAGUAACGCGUGGGUAACCUGCCUUACACAGGGGGAUAACGACCUGGAAACAGGUGCUAAUACCGCAUAAGCGCACAGGGCCGCAUGGCCCGGUGUGAAAAAACUCCGGUGGUGUAAGAUGGACCCGCGUCUGAUUAGCUUGUUGGCGGGGUAGGGGGCCCACCAAGGCGACGAUCAGUAGCCGGGCCUGAGAGGGUGGACCGGCCACAUUGGGACUGAGACACGGCCCAAACUCCUACGGGAGGCAGCAG